AUUGAACGCUGGCGGCAGGCUUAACACAUGCAAGUCGAGCGCGCGGCGGACGGGUGAGUAAUGUCUGGGAAACUGCCUGAUGGAGGGGGAUAACUACUGGAAACGAUAGCUAAUACCGCAUACCAUCAGAUGUGCCCAGAUGGGAUUAGCUAGUCGGUGGGGUAAUGGGUCACCUAGGCGACGCUCCCUAGCUGGUCUGAGAGGAUGACCAGCCACAAUGGAACGAAGACACGGUCCAGACUCCUACGGAUGGCAGCAGGGGGGAAUAUGGCAAAAUGGGCGCAAGCCUGAUGCAGCCGUGCCCAGGGUGUGAAGAAGGCCUGCGGGUUGGAAAGCACUUUCAGCGAGGAGGCGUUACUCGCAGAAGAAGCACCGGCUAACUCCGUGCCAGAAGCGGCGGUAAUUC
Molecule: ribosomal RNA, 406 nt
Filed under: uncultured bacterium
Lineage: Bacteria
Description: partial 16S ribosomal RNA
Rfam family: Bacterial small subunit ribosomal RNA
Source: RNAcentral